This 520-nucleotide ribosomal RNA is filed under the name Microcotyle erythrini. RNAcentral's name for it is "partial 28S ribosomal RNA". The record is from RNAcentral. Lineage: Eukaryota; Metazoa; Platyhelminthes; Monogenea; Mazocraeidea; Microcotylidae.
CCGCUUAGAAGCAAACGGGUGUAGUCAAGCUGCAAGCCUUAAGAAAUAGGUUGGUCAGAAUGGCGUGAGUCUGAGCAUACAGAGCUGCCAGGUAGGUCCGACUAUAUGUCGGGUUCGGCUCGCAAGAGUCGGAUUUGUGGAGCGUUUACGCGCUGCAUGCCUGCUUGUCAGUUGCUCUACUGGCCCUCUCAAUUUCUUUUGGCGUAUGUCACGACCGUCUUCGCUGUCGGUCUGCUCCAUUUAAACCGUUUCGUGAGUAGUUUCGUGCUGCUUGCGUUCCUGGGGGCAGGUAGCUGAUCUAGUCUCGGCUGGAUUGGUGUAAUUGCUGAGUGGAGUGGUACCUGUAACUGUGCAGUAAGAUGGGGCUGGCGGUGCAUUGUUGCCGGGCGUGCGUGUGUUAUCGUGGUUGGCGUAUGGCUAUCUGUUGCUGUUAAUAACGGCCUGGUGGUUGCCCGAUUGCGGUGUCAUUCGUUACGUUUGGUCCAUCUUUGCGUUGUGCAUAUAGUCUGUNGCGUAGUGG